Manihot esculenta (cassava) is the source of this 709-nucleotide RNA transcript. RefSeq lists it as uncharacterized. NCBI's taxonomy places the organism in Eukaryota, Viridiplantae, Streptophyta, Magnoliopsida, Malpighiales, Euphorbiaceae. The transcript is spliced from 4 exons. The record is from RefSeq and is a predicted model, not a curated record.
AAGAGUCGCUACAGAAAACCCCUGAGAUCGUAUUCAUUUCAAUCUGAUUUCGUAUCCCCAACCGAAUUGCCGUCGGGUCGGCCAGAGCUGCAGGGAAGUCUAGUAGUCUACCAAUCCAACGGCGUCGUAACUCUCCUCAGUCUCGUGCUCGCUUCCCUCACAAGUUGGAGCGAAUUUGAAAACCCUGGUUUAAUCAGGGCUUAUCAACACUUUCCUUUCUUUCUCUCCAAGACAAUGGCGGAAUCCGUAGUACCACGCCCAUGGUUUCUUGAUUUGGUACCUCUCUUGGUGGUUCUUCUAAUAGCGGCUCACGUCCUCGCUUUGGCUUACUGGAUUUACAGAUUAGCUACCGAUAAACAACCCCAGAGAAGAAAGGCACACUGAGGAUUUAGCAGUUAACCCAGGCUGUGUUUACUGGUCCAAUUUCUUGUGCUCUACUUGCGGAGUAUGGUGAGACCAUGUCAGGUUUGAACAUUAAGUACUUGUUCGUAAUGUUGAUUGGGAUUGAUUCUAUGUAGACAGGUUAUACAACAAUCAUAGAAGCAGCUUUUACUAUUGUGUAGCUUGUGUUUUUUUGGUACAUCACAUUGCUGCAUGUUCCUAAUCUCUGGAGUCGGACAUUAUUGAGUGCCUGGUUUCAUCCUUGAUGUUUGCACCAUCAAACAUUUGUACAACUAUUGACUUGAUUGUUUGACCAUACUUGAUUGCU